GCCCGGCUGGCUCGGUCGGUAGAGCAUGUGACUCCUGAUCACAGGGUUGUGGGUUCAAUCCCCAGAUUGGGUG
Molecule: non-coding RNA, 73 nt
Organism: Hyaena hyaena (striped hyena)
Lineage: Eukaryota; Metazoa; Chordata; Mammalia; Carnivora; Hyaenidae
Source: the annotation of a RefSeq genome assembly